This 76-nucleotide transfer RNA is filed under the name Burkholderia ubonensis. RNAcentral's name for it is "tRNA-Phe". It matches the Rfam family "tRNA". From Rfam's summary of the family: Transfer RNA (tRNA) molecules are approximately 80 nucleotides in length. Their secondary structure includes four short double-helical elements and three loops (D, anti-codon, and T loops). The record is from RNAcentral. Lineage: Bacteria; Pseudomonadati; Pseudomonadota; Betaproteobacteria; Burkholderiales; Burkholderiaceae.
GCCUCUGUAGCUCAGUUGGUAGAGCGCUGCGUUGAAGGCGCAGGCGUCGCUGGUUCGAUUCCAGCCGGGGGUACCA